This is a long non-coding RNA of Grammomys surdaster, 143 nucleotides long. RefSeq lists it as uncharacterized. Lineage: Eukaryota; Metazoa; Chordata; Mammalia; Rodentia; Muridae. The record is from RefSeq and is a predicted model, not a curated record. The transcript is spliced from 3 exons.
GGAUGAUGUUUCCUUGGAUUCAGUUUGGAUACAUAAUUAUGCUUGUCAAAGCAAGAAGACUGGAAGCUUAAGAAUACACAAAAAGACUUAUUCAAGUACACCAGCUGUUUUCCAAUGUACAAGAGAUGAGAAGACCUCAAGAU